UCUUGUUUGAGAAUUCUUGUAAAGAUUUUUUAAAUAUUUUUUAGUCGUUUAAAGAAUUUAGAAAUAUGAUAAAUUAGAUGAUAGCUCGUUAAACAAAAAAAAUCAAUUAUUGAAUGAAAUCAUCAUUGAGAGACGCUGUAUCGUAGUGUAUCACUUGAAAAAUGAAGGAACAGCGCGUAAAUUGCUAUUAUAGAGGUUUGAACGCUUGUAGCGGUUCUUAAUUCGUGAGGACAUUUAUUUGCUACACUUUGGUGCAAUAUAAUUCGACGCGUUUCUGCUAUUUUUACUGUUUUGUGAUUCAUUUACCCUACUAUUAAAAAGAAUUAUUGCCUUCGAGAUUUGAAACAUGUUACCACACCAACACCGUUCUUUAAUUUCUUCUUAACGAUUAAUUGUAUUUUAUUUUCAGAAGAAUAGAUAUUUCUAAUUUUUUCAAUGCUAUAAUGAGUCCAUUUAUACGUUUCUUCAUCUUUCGAUAUAGGAAAGUUAGUUUUAUUUUAUAUAUAAUUUCUAUUUUAAGAAAUUUAAAUUCUGUAAAAUAUUGUAGGUUGAAAAAUAUUGGAAGAAAUUGUUUUUAAAUGAUGAAAAUACAUUUCAUUGUCGAGAAGGAGGUAGCUGACUGAAGAUAAUAAUCACCUUCCGUUCGUCGUAAAUCUCUCCUUAUGAACGAUGGCGAUAGGGUUUGCUCGCACAAAAAUAGAGUUUUUUUCCUGGCCCUCGUAAAAUAUUUAUAUGCGCAAAUAGUGGAGAGUCGAGUCGAAAAUAGGGUUGGUCCGCGACUCGAUGAAAAGAAGACAUCGAUAAGAUGUUAAUGUCAGAGCGUCUGGGGAAUCGAAGAGGUGACAAAAUGAAUCCUCCGGUUUUGAUAGAGAAGUAGAUCCAUUACACUAUCUCUCGAGAAGGUUGUUACUUUUGUUGGACAGCUGUUUCCUUUAAAAAAAAAAUUAUUUAAUUGAGAAACUCAUUGUGUAACAAAAAUUUG
This is a long non-coding RNA of Apis dorsata (giant honeybee), 982 nucleotides long. RefSeq lists it as uncharacterized. The transcript has 3 exons. The record is from RefSeq and is a predicted model, not a curated record. NCBI's taxonomy places the organism in Eukaryota, Metazoa, Arthropoda, Insecta, Hymenoptera, Apidae.